CCUACGGGGGGCAGCAGUGGGGAAUAUUGGGCAAUGGGGGCAACCCUGACCCAGCAACGCCGCGUGAAGGAAGAAGGCUUUCGGGUUGUAAACUUCUUUGACGAGGGAAGAAAGCAAUGACGGUACCUCGAAAACAAGCCACGGCUAACUACGUGCCAGCAGCCGCGGUAAUACGUAGGUGGCAAGCGUUGUCCGGAUUUACUGGGUGUAAAGGGCGCGUAGGCGGGAGAACAAGUCAGAUGUGAAAUGUGGGGGCUUAACCCUCAAGCUGCAUUUGAAACUGUACUUCUUGAGUAUCGGAGAGGCAGGCGGAAUUCCUAGUGUAGCGGUGAAAUGCGUAGAUAUUAGGAGGAACACCAGUGGCGAAGGCGGCCUGCUGGACGACAACUGACGCUGAGGCGCGAAAGCGUGGGGAGCAAACAGGAUUAGAUACCCCAGUAGUC
This 443-nucleotide ribosomal RNA is filed under the name uncultured Sporobacter sp. Its description in RNAcentral is "bacterial SSU rRNA". It matches the Rfam family "Bacterial small subunit ribosomal RNA", at positions 338 to 795 of the family's 1533-position model. The record is from RNAcentral. Lineage: Bacteria; Bacillati; Bacillota; Clostridia; Eubacteriales; Oscillospiraceae.